RNAcentral lists this long non-coding RNA (391 nucleotides) under Linum usitatissimum (flax). RNAcentral's name for it is "long non-coding RNA (LUSI_LNC004739)". Lineage: Eukaryota; Viridiplantae; Streptophyta; Magnoliopsida; Malpighiales; Linaceae. The record is from RNAcentral.
GGAGUUGCAGGUUGGGGUUUACUCCAAUUCAUUGAGUUAAGAGAGCUUUGGUGGAGGAGGAGAGUGAGAAUGACGGAGGUAACGACGCCCACAGAGAACUGUGGUGGUUCAUAAAUCAUGAUGACAGAGCCUGUAGAUAAUUAUCUUUUUUGUUUUUUUUUUAUUUCAACCAAUUUUCUUAGUAAUAUUAUUAUUUUAUGAUGUGGUGCUUAUAUGGGAUAUAAAUAGGAAGACUCGUCGUUAAGAUCAUGGUCAAAUUUGAGUUUCAUGUCACAAAAGAUAUCUUCAAUAGACCGUUAUUUUUGGUAAAACCCGAAUAUGUUGGACCUCCUAAAAACAUUAAUCCUUUAAUGUAUAUUUUCCAUCAUUUUCUACCUUUGUGUUACAAAAU